Molecule: unclassified non-coding RNA, 229 nt
Filed under: plant metagenome
Description: partial contains small subunit ribosomal RNA, internal transcribed spacer 1, and 5.8S ribosomal RNA
Source: RNAcentral
UCUCCGUAGGUGAACCUGCGGAGGGAUCAUUACGGAGUUCUCGCCCUCGCGGGUAGAUCUCCCACCCACUGUUAUUGUUACUGUGUUGCUUUGGCGGGCCGCCGGGCCCCGCUCGGCCGCCGGCUCCGGCUGGCGCGCGCCCGCCAGAGGCCCCGCAAACUCUGAAUGUUAGUGUCGUCUGAGUACUAUAUAAUAGUUAAAACUUUCAACAACGGAUCUCUUGGUUCUG